Molecule: long non-coding RNA, 461 nt
Filed under: Homo sapiens (human)
Lineage: Eukaryota; Metazoa; Chordata; Mammalia; Primates; Hominidae
Description: HSALNT0365279
Source: RNAcentral
UGUGUAUCUCCUUGAAUUUUGCACCCUGGAUGCCUUCCUUGCUCACCCUGGACCCAGCCCUGCCCUGCUUUUGAGCAAUUUGUAUUCUUGGUUUAACAAAGUGUGGAGAGGACCCUCAAGGAUCUCAGAACCUACUGGAUGAGGCAGGAAAAUAAAAAGACACAGAGUGUGCUGUGUGAUCAGCAGAGAUGAAGCUUCCUUAGUGAAGGAGGAGAAUUACAGAGCAGCGCCAGCGUUGGGGAAACAUGCUCAACUUCCAGCAGUCAUUCCCGCUCGCCUCCUUUCUCUUUGCUCGAGGUGCGUAUGACAAGAGCUUCCAAACAGCUUAAGCACAGGAAACUCUGGGAGUGUGUGUGUCUAUAUCUGAGCGACUUUCAUCUCUCCAUAGGUUCAGUCUGUCUGCAAAGCCUCCCUUGUCAGCAGCUGGCGAGGCAGCUCAACAAUAGAAUGAUGCUUGUUUC